RNAcentral lists this transfer RNA (68 nucleotides) under Upogebia major. RNAcentral's name for it is "tRNA-Glu". Lineage: Eukaryota; Metazoa; Arthropoda; Malacostraca; Decapoda; Upogebiidae. The record is from RNAcentral.
GUUUUAGUGGUGUACUCUAACACAUUAUAUUUUCACUAUAAAGCUGGGACUUACUUUCCCCUAAAAUU